UAUAGUGGCAAACGGGUGAGUAACACGUGAAUUAUCUGCCCUUUAGUGAAGAAUACCCUCGAGAAAACGAGGUUAAUACUGCAUAAGCCUGAGGUAAAACUUAGGGAAAGCUGGCCUCUUUGCUAGCGCUGAAGGAUGAGUUUGCGGUCUAUUAGCUAGUUGGUAGGGUAAAGGCCUACCAAGGCAAUAAUGGAUAGCCGGCCUGAGAGGGUGUACGGCCACAUUGGGACUGAGAUACGGCCCAGACUCCUACGGGAGGCAGCAGUGGGGAAUAUUGCGCAAUGGGGGAAACCUUGACGCAGCGACGCCGCGUGGAGGAUGAAGGUCUUCGGAUUGUAAACUCCUGUUAAGUGGGAAGAAAUGGCAAAAUUUAAUACAUUUUGCAGCUGACGGUACCACUAGAGAAAGCACCGGCUAACCUCGUGCCAGCAGCCGCGGUAAUACGAGGGGUGCAAGCGUUAUUCGGAGUUACUGGGCGUAAAGAGCGCGUAGGCGGCUUGUUAAGUUGGUUGUUAAAGACCCCGGCUCAACCGGGGAAGUGCAGCCGAUACUGGCGAGCUAGAGGGCAAGAGAGAGAGGUGGAAUUCUCGGAGUAGCGGUAAAAUGCGUAGAUCUCGAGAGGAACAUCAGUUGCGAAGGCGGCUUCUUGGCUUGUUUCUGACGCUAAGGCGCGAAAGCGUGGGGAGCAAACAGGAUUAGAUACCCUGGUAGUCCACGCCGUAAACGAUGAUCACUAGAUGUUGGUUUCGCUUAGCGAGAUCAGUGUCGUAGCUAACGCGUUAAGUGAUCCGCCUGGGGAGUACGGUCGCAAGAUUAAAACUCAAAGAAAUUGACGGGGGUCCGCACAAGCGGUGGAACAUGUGGUUUAAUUCGACACUACGCGAGGAACCUUACCUAGACUUGACAUGUUUUUGACACCAAUGGAAACAUUGGGUUCCGUGUUUACACGGACAGAUUCACAGGUGCUGCAUGGCUGUCGUCAGCUCGUGUCGUGAGAUGUUGGGUUAAGUCCUUUAACGAGCGCAACCCUUGCUGCUAGUUGCUAUCUCUUCGGAGAGCACUCUAGUGGGACUGCCUUGGAAACAAGGAGGAAGGUGGGGAUGACGUCAAGUCCUCAUGGCCUUUAUGUCUAGGGCUACACACGUGUUACAAUGGCGAGUACAACGGGACGCUAAGCCGCGAGGUGGAGCAAAUCCUGCAAAACUCGUCUAAGUUCGGAUUGAAGUCUGCAAUUCGACUUCAUGAAGUUGAAAUCGCUAGUAAUCGCAUAUCAGAACGAUGCGGUGAAUACGUUCUCGGACCUUGUACACACCGCCCGUCACACCACGAAAGUUGUCAGCACCCGAAAGCACUUUAGCUAACCUUUUAGGAGGCGAGUGAUGAAGGUGAGGAUAAUGAUUGGGGUGAAGUCGUAACAAGGUA
RNAcentral lists this ribosomal RNA (1422 nucleotides) under metagenome. RNAcentral describes it as "bacterial SSU rRNA". It matches the Rfam family "Bacterial small subunit ribosomal RNA". The record is from RNAcentral.